GGGGCUGUUUUGAUUCGACAGGGCAUUCAUAUAUAUGGACUCAGGUAGUAGGGAUACUAUAAAUCUAAGCAUAAAAUAAUCGGAAAAGAUUACAAUUUUGCACCUGCUUUUGCCUAGUUUAAGGUCGUAGGUGGUUCCUUCCUUUCUUUGUUCACGAGAAAGAACAAGGGACUCAUAAAAGUGAACUAUAUUAUACAUUUGUUUAGGAUGUAUGAUGAACUAUAACUAAACUUAGAAAAGUAUAGGAAUGCUUGGCUCUCCAGUGCUUUUUGAAAUAUAAACCAGCUAAACUUGUAAAAAGGUCUGUAUAAUAUGGUGUUUUGGACACGAGGUCGUUCCUCGUCAGCUCCACCA
This 354-nucleotide transfer-messenger RNA is filed under the name Bacilli. RNAcentral's name for it is "RUG727 sp902797005 Standard tmRNA". It matches the Rfam family "transfer-messenger RNA". From Rfam's summary of the family: Bacterial tmRNA, also known as 10Sa RNA or SsrA, is named for its dual tRNA and mRNA-like properties. Its role is to liberate the mRNA from a stalled ribosome. Lineage: Bacteria; Bacillati; Bacillota. The record is from RNAcentral. RNAcentral also lists the same sequence under 1 other name.